UGAAACUCAAAGGAAUUGACGGGGGCCCGCACAAGCGGUGGAGCAUGUGGUUUAAUUNGAAGCAACGCGAAGAACCUUACCAGGUCUUGACAUCCUCUGACAACCCUAGAGAUAGGGCGUUCCCCUUCGGGGGACAGAGUGACAGGUGGUGCAUGGUUGUCGUCAGCUCGUGUCGUGAGAUGUUGGGUUAAGUCCCGCAACGAGCGCAACCCUUGACCUUAGUUGCCAGCAUUCAGUUGGGCACUCUAAGGUGACUGCCGGUGACAAACCGGAGGAAGGUGGGGAUGACGUCAAAUCAUCAUGCCCCUUAUGACCUGGGCUACACACGUGCUACAAUGGGCGGUACAAAGGGUCGCGAAACCGCGAGGUGGAGCUAAUCCCAAAAAGCCGCUCUCAGUUCGGAUUGCAGGCUGCAACUCGCCUGCAUGAAGCCGGAAUCGCUAGUAAUCGCGGAUCAGCAUGCCGCGGUGAAUACGUUCCCGGGCCUUGUACACACCGCCCGUCACACCACGAGAGUUUGCAACACCCGAAGUCGGUGAGGUAACCCUUACGGGAGCCAGCCGCCGAAGGUGGGGCAAAUGAUUGGGGUGAAGUCGUAACAAG
This 603-nucleotide ribosomal RNA is filed under the name Anoxybacillus sp. Its description in RNAcentral is "bacterial SSU rRNA". It matches the Rfam family "Bacterial small subunit ribosomal RNA", at positions 895 to 1495 of the family's 1533-position model. Lineage: Bacteria; Bacillati; Bacillota; Bacilli; Caryophanales; Anoxybacillaceae. The record is from RNAcentral.